CCUACGGGGUGCUGCAGUGAGGAAUAUUGGUCAAUGGGCGGACGCCUGAACCAGCCAAGUAGCGUGCGGGAUGACUGCCCUACGGGUCGUAAACCGCUUUUGCAAGGGGAUAACACCCUCCACUUGUGGAGGUCUUCAGGUACCCUGAGGAUAAGGGCCGGCAAAUUCCGUGCCAGCCGCCGCGGUAAUACGGAAGGCACGAGCGUUAUCCGGAUUCAUUGGGCUUAAAGGGAGCGUAGGCGGGCGUUCAAGUCAGCUGUAAAAUCGCGCGGCUCAACCGCGCCCCGCAGUUGAAACUGGACGUCUUGAGUGCACAACAGGCAGGCGGAAUUCGUGGUGUAGCGGUGAAAUGCAUAGAUAUCACGAAGAACCCCGAUUGCGAAGGCAGCAUGCCGGGGUGCGACUGACGCUGAGGCUCGAAGGUGCGGGUAUCAAACAGGAUUAGAUACCCGGGUAGUC
RNAcentral lists this ribosomal RNA (459 nucleotides) under uncultured bacterium. RNAcentral describes it as "partial 16S ribosomal RNA". It matches the Rfam family "Bacterial small subunit ribosomal RNA", at positions 338 to 795 of the family's 1533-position model. The record is from RNAcentral.